RNAcentral lists this ribosomal RNA (301 nucleotides) under uncultured bacterium. Its description in RNAcentral is "partial 16S ribosomal RNA". It matches the Rfam family "Bacterial small subunit ribosomal RNA", at positions 509 to 807 of the family's 1533-position model. The record is from RNAcentral.
CAGUAGCCGCGGGAAUACGAAGGGUGCAAGCGUUAAUCGGAAUUACUGGGCGUAAAGCGUGCGCAGGCGGUUUGUUAAGACAGAUGUGAAAUCCCCGGGCUCAACCUGGGAACUGCAUUUGUGACUGGCAAGCUAGAGUGUGGCAGAGGGGGGUGGAAUUCCGCGUGUAGCAGUGAAAUGCGUAGAUAUGCGGAGGAACACCGAUGGCGAAGGCAAUCCCCUGGGCCUGUACUGACGCUCAUGCACGAAAGCGUGGGGAGCAAACAGGAUUAGAUACCCCGGUAGUCCCUGUCUCUUAUAC